UACGAGAGGACCGGGGUGGACGGACCUCUGGUGUACCAGUUGUCCCGCCAGGGGCACCGCUGGGUAGCCACGUCCGGAUGGGAUAAACGCUGAAAGCAUCUAAGCGUGAAGCCCACCUCAAGAUGAGAUUUCCCUUUCGCGAGAAGUAAGAUCCCUUAUAGAUGAUGAGGUUGAUAGGUCAGACGUGUAAGUAUGGCGACAUAUUGAGCGGACUGAUACUAAUAGAUCGAGGACUUAACCUUA
This 243-nucleotide ribosomal RNA is filed under the name Acholeplasmataceae bacterium. RNAcentral describes it as "partial 23S ribosomal RNA". It matches the Rfam family "Bacterial large subunit ribosomal RNA", at positions 2682 to 2925 of the family's 2925-position model. Lineage: Bacteria; Bacillati; Mycoplasmatota; Mollicutes; Acholeplasmatales; Acholeplasmataceae. The record is from RNAcentral.